This 459-nucleotide ribosomal RNA is filed under the name uncultured bacterium. RNAcentral's name for it is "partial 16S ribosomal RNA". It matches the Rfam family "Bacterial small subunit ribosomal RNA", at positions 338 to 795 of the family's 1533-position model. The record is from RNAcentral.
CCUACGGGAGGCAGCAGUGAGGAAUAUUGGUCAAUGGUCGGGAGACGGAACCAGCCAAGCCGCGUGAGGGAGGAAGGUACAGAGUAUCGUAAACCUCUUUUGUCAGGGAACAAAGACUGGGACGCGUCCCCGGAUGAGUGUACCUGAAGAAAAAGCAUCGGCUAACUCCGUGCCAGCAGCCGCGGUAAUACGGAGGAUGCGAGCGUUAUCCGGAUUUAUUGGGUUUAAAGGGUGCGCAGGCGGUCUGUUAAGUCAGCGGUGAAAGCCCGGGGCUCAACCCCGGCCCGCCGUUGAAACUGGCAGUCUCGAGUUGGAGAGAAGUAUGCGGAAUGCGCGGUGUAGCGGUGAAAUGCAUAGAUAUCGCGCAGAACUCCGAUUGCGAAAGCAGCAUGCCGGCUCCACACUGACGCUGAGGCACGAAAGCGUGGGUAUCGAACAGGAUUAGAUACCCCGGUAGUC